Molecule: ribosomal RNA, 422 nt
Filed under: Verrucomicrobiota bacterium
Lineage: Bacteria; Pseudomonadati; Verrucomicrobiota
Description: Verrucomicrobia bacterium partial 16S ribosomal RNA
Rfam family: Bacterial small subunit ribosomal RNA
Source: RNAcentral
UGGGGAAUUUUGCACAAUGGGCGCAAGCCUGAUGCAGCGACGCCGCGUGAGGGAUGAAGGCCUUCGGGUUGUAAACCUUUUUCGCUCAUGGUCAAGCCGCAGCUUUGGGUUGUGGUGAGGGUAGUGGGUAAAGAAGCGCCGGCUAACUACGUGCCAGCAGCCGCGGUAAUACGUAGGGCGCGAGCGUUGUCCGGAAUUAUUGGGCGUAAAGGGCUUGUAGGCGGUUGGCCGCGUCUGCCGUGAAAUCCUCUGGCUUAACUGGGGGCGUGCGGUGGGUACGGGUUGACUUGAGUGCGGUAGGGGAGACUGGAAUUCCUGGUGUAGCGGUGGAAUGCGCAGAUAUCAGGAGGAACACCGGGGGCGAAGGCGGGUCUCUGGGCCGUUACUGACGCUGAGGAGCGAAAGCGUGGGGAGCGAACAGG